UGACGUUACCUACAGAAGAAGCACCGGCUAACUCCGUGCCAGCAGCCGCGGUAAUACGGAGGGUGCGAGCGUUAAUCGGAAUUACUGGGCGUAAAGCGCGCGUAGGCGGUUUAGUAAGUCGGAUGUGAAAGCCCUGGGCUUAACCUGGGAAUUGCAUUCGAAACUGCUUGACUAGAGUUGGGAGAGGGAAGUGGAUUUCCGGUGUAGCGUUGAAUGCGUAGAUCUCGAAGGAACUCGUGGCGAAGCGACUCCUGGACCAUACUGACGCGGGGUGCAAGG
This 279-nucleotide ribosomal RNA is filed under the name uncultured Gammaproteobacteria bacterium. RNAcentral describes it as "partial 16S ribosomal RNA". It matches the Rfam family "Bacterial small subunit ribosomal RNA", at positions 470 to 758 of the family's 1533-position model. The record is from RNAcentral. Lineage: Bacteria; Pseudomonadati; Pseudomonadota; Gammaproteobacteria.